Molecule: ribosomal RNA, 510 nt
Filed under: uncultured bacterium
Lineage: Bacteria
Description: bacterial SSU rRNA
Rfam family: Bacterial small subunit ribosomal RNA
Source: RNAcentral
GACGAACGCUGGCGGCGUGCCUAAUACAUGCAAGUCGAACGGUCUUUUCUAUGGAAGCUUGCUUCCACUGAGAAGAUAGUGGCGAACGGGUGAGUAACACGUGGGUAACCUGCCCAUAAGAGGGGGAUAACAUCCGGAAACGGGUGCUAAUACCGCAUAGUUUUCUUGAUCGCAUGAUCGGGAAAGGAAAGACGGCCUUUGUGCUGUCGCUUAUGGAUGGACCCGCGGCGUAUUAGUUAGUUGGUGAGGUAACGGCUCACCAAGACGAUGAUACGUAGCCGACCUGAGAGGGUGAUCGGCCACAUUGGGACUGAGACACGGCCCAAACUCCUACGGGAGGCAGCAGUAGGGAAUCUUCCGCAAUGGACGAAAGUCUGACGGAGCAACGCCGCGUGAGUGAAGAAGGUUUUCGGAUCGUAAAACUUUGUUGUCAGAGAAGAACAAGUUGGAGAGUAACUGCUCCAGCCUUGACGGUAUCUGACCAGAAAGCCACGGCUAACUACGUGCCAG